RNAcentral lists this transfer RNA (75 nucleotides) under Gemmatimonadaceae bacterium 4484_173. Its description in RNAcentral is "tRNA-Glu". It matches the Rfam family "tRNA". Rfam says of the family: Transfer RNA (tRNA) molecules are approximately 80 nucleotides in length. Their secondary structure includes four short double-helical elements and three loops (D, anti-codon, and T loops). The record is from RNAcentral. RNAcentral also lists the same sequence under 3 other names. Lineage: Bacteria; Pseudomonadati; Gemmatimonadota; Gemmatimonadia; Gemmatimonadales; Gemmatimonadaceae.
GACCCCAUCGUCCAAUGGUAAGGACACCGGCCUUUCACGCCGGCAAUACGGGUUCGAUCCCCGUUGGGGUCGCCA